UUCACCAUUGCAAUAACAGGCAUUGCUGUUAUACUAGGAUCACUUCUUUUCCAGAGGAAAACAGGGAAUAAUCAAGUGCAUUAGCAGCAGAGAAGGUACACUUUAGGGUUUAUGUGAAUCACAGCUCCAAGGCUAUUUAUUUCCAUUUGUCUGGAUCUGUAAUCAACUGAGAGCUUACUGUUGUUACUGUAUUAAACUCAUUGGGAUUGUGAUAGUGCAUUGACAGCUUGCGUUCUGGUAUCGUUCAUUGGAAAUUAGCUUCAGCAUUUGUUCGCGUAAAAAAUGGGCUUUUGUAAAGUUACGUUCUUGUAAUUGCUGGGAAUUCCACUUCUGUCAAUCCCAAUGAGUUUAAUACAGUAACAA
RNAcentral lists this unclassified non-coding RNA (363 nucleotides) under Hevea brasiliensis (rubber tree). Lineage: Eukaryota; Viridiplantae; Streptophyta; Magnoliopsida; Malpighiales; Euphorbiaceae. The record is from RNAcentral.